This 253-nucleotide ribosomal RNA is filed under the name uncultured bacterium. RNAcentral's name for it is "partial 16S ribosomal RNA". It matches the Rfam family "Bacterial small subunit ribosomal RNA", at positions 524 to 776 of the family's 1533-position model. The record is from RNAcentral.
UACGGAGGAGGCAAGCGUUAUCCGGAAUUAUUGGGCGUAAAGAGUCCGUAGGUGGGUAACCAAGUCAGUUGUUAAAUAGUGAAGCUUAACUUCAUAGAGGCGACUGAAACUGGUUGUCUAGAGAGUGGUAGGGGUAGAGGGAAUUUCCAGUGUAGCGGUGAAAUGCGUAGAUAUUGGAAAGAACACCGGUGGCGAAAGCGCUCUACUGGGCCAUUACUGACACUGAGGGACGAAAGCUAGGGGAGCGAAAGGG